RNAcentral lists this ribosomal RNA (460 nucleotides) under uncultured bacterium. RNAcentral describes it as "partial 16S ribosomal RNA". It matches the Rfam family "Bacterial small subunit ribosomal RNA", at positions 338 to 795 of the family's 1533-position model. The record is from RNAcentral.
CCUACGGGUGGCAGCAGUGAGGAAUAUUGGUCAAUGGGCGCGAGCCUGAACCAGCCAAGUAGCGUGAAGGAUGACUGCCCUACGGGUUGUAAACUUCUUUUAUAAAGGAAUAAAGUGAGGCACGUGUGCCUUUUUGCAUGUACUUUAUGAAUAAGGAUCGGCUAACUCCGUGCCAGCAGCCGCGGUAAUACGGAGGAUCCGAGCGUUAUCCGGAUUUCUUGGGUUUAAAGGGGGCGUAGAUGGGUUGUUAAGUCAGUGGUGAAAGUUUGCGGCUCAACCGUAAAAUUGCAAUUGAUACUGGCGGCCUUGAGUACAGUUGAGGUAGGCGGAAUGCGUGGUGUAGCGGUGAAAUGCUUAGAUAUCACGAAGAACUCCGAUUGCGAAGGCAGCUUACUAAGCUGUGACUGACAUUGAUGCUCGAAAGUGUGGGUAUCGAACAGGAUUAGAUACCCUUGUAGUC